Molecule: long non-coding RNA, 589 nt
Organism: Saccostrea cuccullata (small rock oyster)
Lineage: Eukaryota; Metazoa; Mollusca; Bivalvia; Ostreida; Ostreidae
Exons: 5
Source: RefSeq, a predicted model, not a curated record
AUAAAACUUCAGACUGUGACUUGUACUCCAUCUUGGCUGUGAUAGAAGCCAAGAAACAACACCGAUUGAAGUAUACUUGACAGCAGUACCCAAUUGAAAGAUGUUGAAUAUGAAGAGCAUGGCCCACCAAGAGAGUUGUGCACAUUGUAGAUGCACUCAAGUCACAGUCUGAAUAGGAAGUGCUAGUAUGUGGUACCAGUUGCUAAUGUCCCUGGUUUUGUCUAUGCUAUAGACAAACCCAGUGGAUUAAAAACUGAUUUGAGCCACUCACUCAUAAAACUUCAGACUGUGACUUGUACUCCAUCUUGGCUGUGAUAGAAGCCAAGAAACAACACCGAUUGAAGUAUACUUGCCAGCAGUACCCAAUUGAAAGAUGUUGAAUAUGGUGAGCAUGGCCCACCAAGAGAGGUGUGCACAUUGUAGAUGCACUCAAGUCACAGUCUGAAUAGACUGUGACUUGUACUCCAUCUUGGCUGUGAUAGAAGCCAAGAAACAACACCGAUUGAAGUAUACUUGCCAGCAGUACCCAACUGGAAGGUGUUGAAUAUGAAGAGCAUGGCCCACCAAGAGAGGUGUGCACAUUGUAGAU